CUGGGCAAGCACAAGUGCCCUUCGGGCGGAGCAGCCCCCUGCCCAGGGGAGGGCAGCAGGCGGGGGCGGGGAAAGGAGCCCCGGAGAGUCAGGCCAAGCUGCCACUAAUCCGGGCAGGGAGAGGGGGGGCACCCACACGUCAGAGCGGGGACUGCCGGGUGGAGGGCAUCUGAGGACAUCCCCUCCCACACACGCGGCCGUCUGGGCACCUAGCCCUACUUCCCCAGCCCCUCCAUCCUUCAGACAGCUGAGGCUGGCCUCCCCCCACCCCACCCCCACCCUUGUGGCAACGCCUGGGGCGGGGGCAUGGGGGAGGGGGAAUACCGGGGAGAAUCUCCCAGGACCUGGGGAGAAGGGCAGAGGCAGGGAAGUGUGGAGAUGCUUCUGGAGCCAGGAGGAAGCUCCGUGGCAGAUGCCCCCUCCCCUCUCACCCACCCACCCACAUCUCUGACCUAGUUCCUCUUCUCAGUCUGCACCUCACCAAUGCCCCUUCUCCUUUCACCCAACCUUCCCUCCCCUGCAAUCCAGCCACCCUGGUAGAGAAAGCUACCUCAUUCCACCCCGGGCUCAGGACCUUCUGCCUAGUAACCCAGCUCUGGCCCCCGGGAAUUCCUAAGCAGCGGGCCUCAUCCUCCUGCCGGGGCUUCUACGCCUACCCAGCUAUAGGGCAUCCCAGUCCCUGAUGCUGGGCGGGGGACAAGGGGGCGAGAGCCGGAGUGCUCACCUCCUCAACCCCGUAAAGGGUGGGGCAGUGCCAGUCACGACACCCCAACUCAGCCUGGGCCAGGGCUGUGUUGAAACAAGAGGCUAACCACGCUGCUGCCGCCCAGAGCGGCAGCGAAAAAUGCAGCAGUGGGGCUAGUGCACCUGGAGGCCAGAGUAGGGAAGGGGGACCGGGACCGGGAGGGGCCGAAGAGGUAGGGAAAGAGAGGAGCCACCAGAAAGGUCCAAGGGACAGCUGGGCUGUGGGGAGGAGGGAGAAGGGAGGGCUGGGAAUGAGGGGCCACCUGCUCCUGGGAACUCGGAGGCAGUGGGGGCAUCCCUCAGAAGCAGGCAAGAUGGAUGGGGAGGACAGAGCGAGCGCAAAUCAGGCAGGGCUGGUACCUGGGCCAAGCAAAGGUGCGUGCUUCCAAGGGGACUAGCCUAGGCUUUUCAUCUCCCUACCAGUGCCCGGCGUGAUUCUGCCUGGGAAGACAGUGGGCACACCGGGGUGUGGAUUCUGCCAUUCCACCCCCACCAAGGCGACUUCUGGACAGACUUGCAUCAGGAGAUGGGGCGCUGACCCACAGACAGCACAAUCAUGGACAAGUUGCUUCACCUCUCCACGUCUCAGUUCUUCCAUCUGUAAAAUGGCUAUAACCCCGACCUGACAGGCUUGACAGGAGGAUUUAAGGAAAUCAUCUAUUUAAAAUGCCCAACAUGAGGUCAGACAAACAAUCAAUGUUUCUUUAUAAAUUUAUUUAUUUUUGCCUGC
This is a long non-coding RNA of Aethalodelphis obliquidens (Pacific white-sided dolphin), 1474 nucleotides long. RefSeq lists it as uncharacterized. The transcript is spliced from 2 exons. NCBI's taxonomy places the organism in Eukaryota, Metazoa, Chordata, Mammalia, Artiodactyla, Delphinidae. The record is from RefSeq and is a predicted model, not a curated record.